AUUUCCUGGUGAUAAUGGCGGAGGGGCCACACCCGUUCCCAUCCCGAACACGGUAGUUAAGUCCUCCAGCGCCGAUGGUACUGCAGCUCAAGCUGUGGGAGAGUAGGUCGUCGCCAGGUUUU
RNAcentral lists this ribosomal RNA (122 nucleotides) under Candidatus Syntrophocurvum alkaliphilum. Lineage: Bacteria; Bacillati; Bacillota; Clostridia; Eubacteriales; Syntrophomonadaceae. The record is from RNAcentral.